CGAGCGGCGAACGGGUGAGUAACACGUGGGUGAUCUGCCUUGCACUUCGGGAUAAGCCUGGGAAACUGGGUCUAAUACCGGAUAUGACCACGAACUGCAUGGUUUGUGGUGGAAAGAUUUAUCGGUGCGAGAUGGGCCCGCGGCCUAUCAGCUUGUUGGUGAGGUAACGGCCCACCAAGGCGACGACGGGUAGCCGACCUGAGAGGGUGACCGGCCACACUGGGACUGAGACACGGCCCAGACUCCUACGGGAGGCAGCAGUGGGGAAUAUUGCACAAUGGGCGAAAGCCUGAUGCAGCGACGCCGCGUGCGGGAUGACGGCCUUCGGGUUGUAAACCGCUUUUGACAGGGACGAAGCGCAAGUGACUGUACCUGUAGAAUAAGGACCGGCCAACUACGUGCCAGCAGCCGCGGUAAUACGUAGGGUCCGAGCGUUGUCCGGAAUUACUGGGCGUAAAGAGCUUGUAGGCGGUUCGUCGCGUCGUUUGUGAAAACUUGGGGCUCAACCUUAAGCUUGCAGGCGAUACGGGCGGACUAGAGUACUUCAGGGGAGACUGGAAUUCCUGGUGUAGCGGUGAAAUGCGCAGAUAUCAGGAGGAACACCGGUGGCGAAGGCGGGUCUCUGGGAAGUAACUGACGCUGAGAAGCGAAAGCAUGGGUAGCAAACAGGAUUAGAUACCCUGGUAGUCCAUGCCGUAAACGGUGGGUACUAGGUGUGGGGCUCCUUCCACGGACUCCGUGCCGUAGCUAACGCAUUAAGUACCCCGCCUGGGGAGUACGGCCGCAAGGCUAAAACUCAAAGAAAUUGACGGGGGCCCGCACAAGCGGCGGAGCAUGUGGAUUAAUUCGAUGCAACGCGAAGAACCUUACCUGGGUUUGACAUACACCGGAAACCUGCAGAGAUGUAGGCCCCCUUGUGGUCGGUGUACAGGUGGUGCAUGGCUGUCGUCAGCUCGUGUCGUGAGAUGUUGGGUUAAGUCCCGCAACGAGCGCAACCCUUAUCUUAUGUUGCCAGCGCGUAAUGGCGGGGACUCGUGAGAGACUGCCGGGGUCAACUCGGAGGAAGGUGGGGACGACGUCAAGUCAUCAUGCCCCUUAUGUCCAGGGCUUCACACAUGCUACAAUGGCCGGUACAGAGGGCUGCGAUACCGCGAGGUGGAGCGAAUCCCUUAAAGCCGGUCUCAGUUCGGAUCGGGGUCUGCAACUCGACCCCGUGAAGUUGGAGUCGCUAGUAAUCGCAGAUCAGCAACGCUGCGGUGAAUACGUUCCCGGGCCUUGUACACACCGCCCGUCACGUCAUGAAAGUCGGUAACACCC
Molecule: ribosomal RNA, 1317 nt
Filed under: Nocardia sp.
Lineage: Bacteria; Bacillati; Actinomycetota; Actinomycetes; Mycobacteriales; Nocardiaceae
Description: bacterial SSU rRNA
Rfam family: Bacterial small subunit ribosomal RNA
Source: RNAcentral